GAUCCUGGGCUCAGGAUGAACGCUAGCUACAGGCUUAACACAUGCAAGUCGUGGGGCAGCAUGGGAGAUGCUUGCAUUUCCCGAUGGCGACCGGCGCACGGGUGAGUAACGCGUAUCCAACCUGCCCUUCACUCCGGCACAGCCCGUCGAAAGACGGAUUAAUGCGGGAUGCAGUCAGAAAGAUGCAUAUUAAUUUGACGAAAGGUCUUCGGGCCGGUGAGGGAUGGGG
RNAcentral lists this ribosomal RNA (229 nucleotides) under uncultured bacterium. Its description in RNAcentral is "partial 16S ribosomal RNA". It matches the Rfam family "Bacterial small subunit ribosomal RNA", at positions 15 to 230 of the family's 1533-position model. The record is from RNAcentral.